This is a non-coding RNA of Callithrix jacchus (white-tufted-ear marmoset), 726 nucleotides long. The record is from RefSeq and is a predicted model, not a curated record. Lineage: Eukaryota; Metazoa; Chordata; Mammalia; Primates; Cebidae.
GUUGUAGCCAUGGCAGCUAACGCUACUACCAACCCAUUGCAGCUGCUGCCGUUAGAGCUUGGACAAAUGUAUAGGAUCAAGAAUUCACAUUGUGAUGAAGAAUGAUAAGGAAAUUGUUGGUACUCUAGGAUUUGAUGACUUUGUCAAUAUGGUCCUGGAAGUUAUCACUAAGUUUGAAAUCACACCAAAAGGAAGAAGGAUUACUAAAUUAGAUCAGAUUAUGCUUAAUGGAAAUCAUAUAACAAUGCUGGUUCCUGGAGGAGAAGGACCUGAAGUGUGAAUGAGUUUCCUUGACUUAUGCUAGAUUCUGUUUUGUCUUAUAAUGACAAGAAAAUUGAUUUUUUUUCAUCUCCUAAUGUUUAAAUCCUAUAAAGCUAAGUUUCCUGUUAAAGGGAAGUGCUUUGAAGAUGUAUACCCAUUUUUGUAGGUUAAUCAUGAUUAUCCUGGAAAAAGAAGAGUUUCUUAUUUAAAGAUGAAAAUAAAGGUGUUUUUGGUUAACAGUCAUUUUAUUGAUUGUAUUGCAGUAGCCAGUGGAACAAAGAUUGUAGUUAUUUUCCUACUCACUUUGGUCAUUAUAUGCCUAUUUGCUUUCUCAUUUACAUGACCAUUUGAUUCUCAGACAAAGGUUGUUCCAAACAAAAUGAUGAACUUUGAUUUGAACAGGUGCAUUUAAACAACCAGAAAUGAUCACUUAGAAAAUUUAACUAAAAUGCUGUUGUUUUGUAA